GAAGGGUGCAAACGUUGCUCGGAAUUAUUGGGCGUAAAGCGCAUGUAGGCGGUUCGUCAAGUCGGAUGUGAAAGCCCCCGGGGCUCAACCUGGGAAGUGCAUUCGAAACUGGCGGACUUGAGUACGGGAGAGGGUCGCGGAAUUCCCGGUGUAGAGGUGAAAUUCGUAGAUAUCGGGAGGAACACCAGAGGCGAAGGCGGCGACCUGGACCGAUACUGACGCUGAGAUGCGAAAGCGUGGGGAGCAAACAGGAUUAGAUACCCUGGUAGUCCACGCCGUAAACGAUGAGUGCUAGAUGUCGCGGGUAUUGACCCCUGCGGUGUCACAGCUAACGCGCUAAGCACUCCGCCUGGGGAGUACGGCCGCAAGGCUA
Molecule: ribosomal RNA, 373 nt
Filed under: uncultured organism
Description: partial 16S ribosomal RNA
Rfam family: Bacterial small subunit ribosomal RNA
Source: RNAcentral